GCUUCCUGUGUCUUCCUGGAACGCCUACAUUCAAAAAGAAAUCUUUGUACUUUACUGGAAAUGACCAUUUUGCAACUGAAUUGGGACAGAUUUCUAUAUGUCCUCAGAGGAGACAAAAGUAUUACGACAAGCAAGUGACUUCUAGCACUUCUGGCCUGACAAGAGAGUGACUAUCCUUCAGUUCACCUUCUAGCGUGUUGUUAGAUAUGAAGAUCUUGUAUCAGGGCUCCAAUUUCGUACAUAUGUGUGAGUACAGACAUUUCAGCAAAGAGUUGAAGAUAAGCCCUGAGGAUAUCUUGGCUCCACUGAAAUGACUGGCAGAGCUCCAUUGGGGUACGGAUAUCACUCAGUGUGUCUAAAGGCCUGUAGCAGACUUACCUUUCAGAGCUUGGGUUGAAUCCCAGGCUUGAGAUCCUGCUGUUUUGAUUGGUGGAGCCCAUCCACCAAUCAGAAGGCAGCAAAAGAAACAACAUCGUGCCCCUUUUCUGAGGGGAGGGGGAGAAGAGCUCCCCCGGACCUGACUGAAGACUGUGAACUGUCAGGUCCGGAAGACUUCAGGGGGCAGAGCCUUGGAGCAUAUAAAAGGAGCCGCGUGCCCAGCACAAGGG
Molecule: long non-coding RNA, 608 nt
Filed under: Crocodylus porosus (Australian saltwater crocodile)
Lineage: Eukaryota; Metazoa; Chordata; Crocodylia; Crocodylidae
Description: lncRNA (ENSCPRG00005002391.1)
Source: RNAcentral